UGGUAGAUGCACCCUGGUUCAGCUCUAGAGUUUAACUCUAGGGCUUUUUUUU
This is a small RNA of Microcoleus sp., 52 nucleotides long. It matches the Rfam family "Nitrogen stress-induced RNA 1". The record is from Rfam. NCBI's taxonomy places the organism in Bacteria, Bacillati, Cyanobacteriota, Cyanophyceae, Oscillatoriales, Microcoleaceae.